UGUGUAGGUGGUUGGUUAAGUUUGAGGUGAAAGCUCCGAGCUCAACUCGGAAAAUGCCUUGAAGACUAUCUGACUAGAGGAUUGGAGGGGAGAUUGGAAUUCUCGGUGUAGCAGUGAAAUGCGUAGAUAUCGAGAGGAACACCAGUGGCGAAGGCGAAUCUCUGGACAAUUCCUGACACUGAGGCACGAAAGCCAAGGGAGCAGACG
RNAcentral lists this ribosomal RNA (207 nucleotides) under uncultured bacterium. Its description in RNAcentral is "partial 16S ribosomal RNA". It matches the Rfam family "Bacterial small subunit ribosomal RNA", at positions 568 to 774 of the family's 1533-position model. The record is from RNAcentral.